This 327-nucleotide ribosomal RNA is filed under the name uncultured eukaryote. RNAcentral describes it as "partial 18S ribosomal RNA". It matches the Rfam family "Eukaryotic small subunit ribosomal RNA", at positions 1470 to 1796 of the family's 1831-position model. The record is from RNAcentral.
CCCUUAGAUGUUCUGGGCCGCACGCGCGCUACACUGACGAAUGCAACGAGCUUAUAACCUUGGCCGAAAGGUCUGGGUAAUCUCCAAAUUUCGUCGUGAUGGGGAUAGAUUAUUGCAAUUAUUAAUCUUCAACGAGGAAUGCCUAGUAAACGCAAGUCAUCAGCUUGCGUUGAUUACGUCCCUGCCCUUUGUACACACCGCCCGUCGCUCCUACCGAUUGAAUGGUCCGGUGAAGCGUUCGGACCGUGGCCUUUGGACGGUUCGCCGUCUGUUGGCUGCGGGAAGUUCGUUAAACCUUAUCAUUUAGAGGAAGGAGAAGUCGUAACA